AGUGGCGAAAGGGGAGAAAAGAAGGGGUAACCUACCCUGGGGAUCGGGAUAGCCAUUCCUCGAAGGGGGAAAACCCGAGGAAGGAACCGAGAUCCCUGGACCUUGCUACAAAAUGAAUUUCCCCUCGGGAGGGGCUCAUGUGAUAUUAGCUUGUUGGCGGGGUAACGGCCCACCAAGGCUGAGAUGUCUAGCGGGUGUGAGAGCACGACCCGCGCCACUGGCACUGAGACACUGGCCAGACUCCUACGGGAGGCUGCAGUCGAGGAUCUUCGGCAAUGGGCGCAAGCCUGACCCCACCAACACCGCCCGCCCGAUGAAGGCCUUCGGGUUGUAAAGCGCUGUCGAGGGGGAGGAAGCCGAAAGGUUGACCUAUCCCUGGAGGAAGCACGGGCUAAGUUCGUGCCAGCAGCCGCGGUAAGACGAACCGUGCGAACGCUGUUCGGAAUCACUGGGCUUAAAGGGCGCGUAGGCGGUUGAUCAAGUCCGGGGUGAAAUCUUUCGGCUUAACCGGAAAAGUGCCUUGGA
RNAcentral lists this ribosomal RNA (525 nucleotides) under uncultured bacterium. RNAcentral describes it as "bacterial SSU rRNA". It matches the Rfam family "Bacterial small subunit ribosomal RNA", at positions 94 to 630 of the family's 1533-position model. The record is from RNAcentral.